RNAcentral lists this ribosomal RNA (517 nucleotides) under uncultured bacterium. RNAcentral's name for it is "partial 16S ribosomal RNA". It matches the Rfam family "Bacterial small subunit ribosomal RNA", at positions 355 to 858 of the family's 1533-position model. The record is from RNAcentral.
UGGGGAAUAUUGCACAAUGGGCGCAAGCCUGAUGCAGCCAUGCCGCGUGUGUGAAGAAGGCCUUCGGGUUGUAAAGCACUUUCAGCGAGGAGGAAGGUGGUGAACUUAAUACGUUCAUCAAUUGACGUUACUCGCAGAAGAAGCACCGGCUAACUCCGUGCCAGCAGCCGCGGUAAUACGGAGGGUGCAAGCGUUAAUCGGAAUUACUGGGCGUAAAGCGCACGCAGGCGGUUUGUUAAGUCAGAUGUGAAAUCCCCCGGGCUCAACCUGGGAACUGCAUUUGAAACGUGGCAAGCUAGAGUCUCGUAAGAGGGGGGUAGAAUUCCAGGUGUAGCGGUGAAAUGCGUAGAGAUCUGGAGGAAUACCGGUGGCGAAGGCGGCCCCCUGGACGAAGACUGACGCUCAGGUGCGAAAGCGUGGGGCAGCAAACAGGAUUAGAUACCCUGGUAGUGCCACGCUGCUAAACGAUGUCGAUUUGGAGGUUGUGCCCUUGAGGCGUGGCUUCCGGAGCUAACGC